GCUUUCGUAGAUCAAUGCCAGAUCACCUCCUUCUGAUACAAGGGCCUGCUAGUAUUCCGGAGGAGAUGCGGGUUCAACUCCCGCCGAAGGCA
Non-coding RNA from Mycena polygramma, 92 nucleotides. Lineage: Eukaryota; Fungi; Basidiomycota; Agaricomycetes; Agaricales; Mycenaceae. The record is from the annotation of a GenBank genome assembly.